ACAUACGACCACAGCCACCAGGCAACUCAGGAUCCCGUCUGAUCUCCWAUGAGAAACUGGUGAGCGCUGGAUUAGUAGCUGGGUCGGUGACGACCAGCGAAUCCCCGGUGUUGUAUGUG
Molecule: ribosomal RNA, 119 nt
Organism: Tolypocladium ophioglossoides CBS 100239
Lineage: Eukaryota; Fungi; Ascomycota; Sordariomycetes; Hypocreales; Ophiocordycipitaceae
Source: Rfam